Bos taurus (domestic cattle) is the source of this 72-nucleotide non-coding RNA. The record is from Rfam. Lineage: Eukaryota; Metazoa; Chordata; Mammalia; Artiodactyla; Bovidae.
UCCCUGGUGGCUCAGAGGUUAAAGCAUCUGCCUCGAAUGAGGGAGGCCCAGGUUCGAUCCCUGGGUUGGGAA